This 83-nucleotide transfer RNA is filed under the name Gordonia phage Bachita. RNAcentral's name for it is "tRNA-Tyr". It matches the Rfam family "tRNA". From Rfam's summary of the family: Transfer RNA (tRNA) molecules are approximately 80 nucleotides in length. Their secondary structure includes four short double-helical elements and three loops (D, anti-codon, and T loops). RNAcentral also lists the same sequence under 7 other names. Lineage: Duplodnaviria; Heunggongvirae; Uroviricota; Caudoviricetes. The record is from RNAcentral.
GUGGGUGACACACCAAUGGUGGUGUAGCGGGCUGUAACCCCGUGGCGUUCUACGCGGGCAGGUUCGAUCCCUGCCACCCACAC